CUUAUACUCCCUCCGUCCGGAAAUACUUGUCGGAGAAAUGCAUAAAAAUGAAUGUAUCUAGAACUAAAAUACAUCUAGAUACGUUCAUUCCUCCGACGAGUAUUUUCGGACGGAGGGAGUAUUAG
Molecule: non-coding RNA, 125 nt
Organism: Triticum aestivum (bread wheat)
Lineage: Eukaryota; Viridiplantae; Streptophyta; Magnoliopsida; Poales; Poaceae
Source: Rfam